AAUGAGCGCUGGCGGUAUGCCUAACACAUGCAAGUCGAACGGCAGCACCGUAAGAGCUUGCUCUUACGGGUGGCGCGUGGCGGACGGGUGAGGUAUACAUCGAAAUCUACUUUUUCGUGGGGGAUAACGUAGGGAAACUUACGCUAAUACCGCAUACGACCUACGGGUGAGAGCAGGGGAUCUUCGGACCUUGCGCGAUUGAAUGAGCCGAUGUUGGAUUAGCUAGUUGGCGGGGUAUAGGCCCACCAAGGCGACGAUCCGUAGCCGGUCUGAGAGGAUGAUCAGCCACACUGGAACGGAGACGCGGACCAGCCCCCUACGGGAGGCACCAGUGGGGAACAUAGGACAAGGGGCGGAAGCGUGAACCAGCCAUACCGCGUGGGUGAAGAAGGCCUUCGGGUUGUAAAGCCCUUUUGUUGGGAAAUAAUAGAAGCAGGUUAACACCGCGCUGUUCGGACGGUACCCAAAGAAUAAGCACCGGCUACUUCCGU
Molecule: ribosomal RNA, 491 nt
Filed under: uncultured bacterium
Lineage: Bacteria
Description: partial 16S ribosomal RNA
Rfam family: Bacterial small subunit ribosomal RNA
Source: RNAcentral